Molecule: non-coding RNA, 191 nt
Organism: Taeniopygia guttata (zebra finch)
Lineage: Eukaryota; Metazoa; Chordata; Aves; Passeriformes; Estrildidae
Source: RefSeq, a predicted model, not a curated record
AAUCCCAAAUCCCGCUUUUUUUGGGAAUUUUUCCCAUAUUUUUCCCGUUUUUGCACGGUUAUGGAGCCCCAAGGUCACCCUGGUGGUGGCCCCAAGGUCACCCUGGUGGUGGCCCCGUGCAGAAGGAGCCACUGGGGCUGUCCACGGGCGAGAAGGAGAACCUGCCUGGAGGUGGGACCCCAAAUUCCAAA